This 120-nucleotide ribosomal RNA is filed under the name Thermothielavioides terrestris NRRL 8126. The record is from RNAcentral. Lineage: Eukaryota; Fungi; Ascomycota; Sordariomycetes; Sordariales; Chaetomiaceae.
ACAUACGACCAUAUGUAGUAGAAAAUUCGGGAUCCCGUCCGCUCUCCCCUAGAUAAGCUACUGACAGCCGAAUUAGUACUCAGGUCGGUGACGACCGAGGAAUCCUCGGUGUUGUAUGUU